AUUGAACGCUGGCGGCAGGCCUAACACAUGCAAGUCGAACGUGAAAGCUCCUUCGGGAGUGAGUAGAGUGGCGAACGGGUGAGUAACGCGUAGGAAUCUACCCAAGGGAGUGGGGGACAACAUGGGGAAACUCAUGCUAAUACCGCAUACGCCCUAGGGGGCAAAUCGGGGGAUCUUCGGACCUCGCGCUCUAAGAUGAGCCUGCGUCGGAUUAGUUUGUUGGUAGGGUAAUGGCCUACCAAGGCGACGAUCCGUAGCUGGUCUGAGAGGACGACCAGCCACACUGGGACUGAGACACGGCCCAGACUCGUACGGGAGGCAGCAGUGGGGAAUAUUGGACAAUGGGGGAAACCCUGAUCCAGCAAUGCCGCGUGUGUGAAGAAGGCCUGCGGGUUGUAAAGCACUUUCAGCAGCGAGGAAAAGCCUAGGGUUAAUAUCCUUGGGUCUUGACGUUAACUGCAGAAGAAGCACCGGCUAACUUCGUGCCAGCAGCCGCGGUAAUACGAAGGGUGCAAGCGUUAAUCGGAAUUACUGGGCGUAAAGCGCGCGUAGGCGGUUAGAUAAGUUGGGUGUGAAAUCCCUGGGCUCAACCUAGGAACUGCAUUCAAUACUGUCUAGCUAGAGUAUGGUAGAGGAAAGUGGAAUUUCAGGUGUAGCGGUGAAAUGCGUAGAUAUAUGAAGGAACAUCAGUGGCGAAGGAGGCCACUGGACCAAUACUGACGCUGAGGUGCGAAAGCGUGGGGAGCAACCAGGAUUAGAUACCCUGGUAGUCCACGCCGUAAACGAUGUCAACUAGCCGUUGGGAGUAUUAAAACUUUUAGUGGCGCAGCUAACGCGAUAAGUUGACCGCCUGGGGAGUACGGUCGCAAGAUUAAAACUCAAAGGAAUUGACGGGGGCCCGCACAAGCGGUGGAGCAUUUGGUUUAAUUCGAUGCAACGCGAAGAACCUUACCUGCCCUUGACAUACUGAGAACUUUCCAGAGAUGGAUUGGUGCCUUCGGGAACUCAGAUAAAGGUGCUGCAUGGCUGUCGUCAGCUCGUGUCGUGAGAUGUUGGGUUCAGUCCCGUAACGAGCGCAACCCUUAUUCUUAGUUGCCAGCGCGUAAUGGCGGGGACUCUAAGGAGACUGCCGGUGCUAAGCCGGAGGAAGGUGGGGACGACGUCAAGUCAUCAUGGCCCUUAUGGGUAGGGCUACACACGUGCUACAAUGGCCGGUACAGAGGGCUGCAAACUUGCGAGAGUAAGCUAAUCCCUUAAAGCCGGUCCUAGUCCGGAUUGGGAGUCUGCAACUCGACUCCAUGAUGCUGGACUCGCUAGUAAUCGCGGAUCAGAAUGCCGCGGUGAAUUCGUUCCCGGGCCUUGUACACACCGCCCGUCACACCAUGGGAGUGGGUUGCAAAAGAAGCCGGUAGCUUAACCUUCGGGAGAGCGCCGUCCACGGUAUGGUUCAUGACUGGGGUG
This 1461-nucleotide ribosomal RNA is filed under the name uncultured prokaryote. RNAcentral describes it as "partial 16S ribosomal RNA". It matches the Rfam family "Bacterial small subunit ribosomal RNA". The record is from RNAcentral.